GACCAAGGAGUCUAACCCGUAUGCGAGUCGUGGGGUCUUGCGUAGGCCCGGUGGCGUAGCGAAAGCAAAGUCGAGACAUGAGGAGUUACUAUGAAAUGUCUGUUCCUUGUAGCAUCGGCGGCCCGGCGGUGCGGCCGGCUGGCACGGUUACCGUUCGGUCGUUAAAAGCCGAACGGYUYGAGUCGUGCCCGGCUCGUCGGAGUCUGAGCAUACGAGUUGGUACCCGAAAGAUGGUGAACUAUGCCCGGCCAGGGCGAAGUCGGAGGAAACUCCGGUGGAGGCCCGAAGCGGUUCUGACGUGCAAAUCGAUCGUCGGAGCGAGGUAUAGGGGCGAAAGACUAAUCGAACCAUCUAGUAGCUGGUUCCCUCCGAAGUUUCCCUCAGGAUAGCUGGCAUUCGUGAAACUCAGUCUCUCCUCGUAGAGAGAAUGAAUAGAGGCCCUGGGGCCCUAGACGACCUCAACCUAUUAUCAAACUGCUACGAGGUGCGUCGG
This 493-nucleotide ribosomal RNA is filed under the name Afrarchaea harveyi. RNAcentral's name for it is "eukaryotic LSU rRNA". It matches the Rfam family "Eukaryotic large subunit ribosomal RNA", at positions 664 to 1081 of the family's 3401-position model. Lineage: Eukaryota; Metazoa; Arthropoda; Arachnida; Araneae; Archaeidae. The record is from RNAcentral.